Molecule: ribosomal RNA, 475 nt
Filed under: uncultured bacterium
Lineage: Bacteria
Description: bacterial SSU rRNA
Rfam family: Bacterial small subunit ribosomal RNA
Source: RNAcentral
ACGCUGGCGGCGUGCCUAACACAUUCAAGUCGAACGGAGUUAUUUCAAUUAAUCCUUCGGGAAGCGUUGAGAUAACUUAGUGGCGGACGGGUGAGUAACGCGUGAGCAACCUGCCCUUGUGUGGGGGAUAACGUUUGGAAACGAACGCUAAUACCGCAUAACCCAAUAGUACGGCAUCGUACAGUUGGCAAAGAUUUAUUGCGCAAGGAUGGGCUCGCGUCCGAUUAGAUAGUUGGUGAGGUAACGGCUCACCAAGUCGACGAUCGGUAGCCGAACUGAGAGGUUGAACGGCCACAUUGGAACUGAGAUACGGUCCAGACUCCUACGGGAGGCAGCAGUGGGGAAUAUUGGGCAAUGGGCGAAAGCCUGACCCAGCGACGCCGCGUGAGGGAAGAAGGUCUUCGGAUUGUAAACCUUUGUUGAUAGGGACGAACAGAUGACGGUACCUAUCGAGGAAGCCACGGCUAACUACGUG